This 760-nucleotide ribosomal RNA is filed under the name uncultured Pseudomonadota bacterium. RNAcentral's name for it is "bacterial SSU rRNA". It matches the Rfam family "Bacterial small subunit ribosomal RNA", at positions 8 to 765 of the family's 1533-position model. The record is from RNAcentral. Lineage: Bacteria; Pseudomonadati; Pseudomonadota.
AGAGUUUGAUCCUGGCUCAGAUUGAACGCUGGCGGCAUGCUUUACACAUGCAAGUCGAACGGUAACAGGCCGCAAGGUGCUGACGAGUGGCGAACGGGUGAGUAAUGUAUCGGAACGUGCCCAGUCGUGGGGGAUAACGCAGCGAAAGCUGCGCUAAUACCGCAUACGAUCUAUGGAUGAAAGCGGGGGACCGUAAGGCCUCGCGCGAUUGGAGCGGCCGAUAUCAGAUUAGGUAGUUGGUGGGGUAAAGGCUCACCAAGCCAACGAUCUGUAGCUGGUCUGAGAGGACGACCAGCCACACUGGGACUGAGACACGGCCCAGACUCCUACGGGAGGCAGCAGUGGGGAAUUUUGGACAAUGGGCGCAAGCCUGAUCCAGCAAUGCCGCGUGCAGGAAGAAGGCCUUCGGGUUGUAAACUGCUUUUGUACGGAACGAAACGGUCCUGGUUAAUACCUGGGGCUAAUGACGGUACCGUAAGAAUAAGCACCGGCUAACUACGUGCCAGCAGCCGCGGUAAUACGUAGGGUGCAAGCGUUAAUCGGAAUUACUGGGCGUAAAGCGUGCGCAGGCGGUUUUGUAAGACAGGCGUGAAAUCCCCGGGCUUAACCUGGGAAUGGCGCUUGUGACUGCAAAGCUGGAGUGCGGCAGAGGGGGAUGGAAUUCCGCGUGUAGCAGUGAAAUGCGUAGAUAUGCGGAGGAACACCGAUGGCGAAGGCAAUCCCCUGGGCCUGCACUGACGCUCAUGCACGAAAGCGUGGG